ACCCACAGCCAUAUCACCCUGCAGCCCAAGACUGGUUACUCACUGAAGCUAAGCAGGGCUGAGUCUGGCCAGUAUCUGGAUGGGAGACCACACUGGAAAACUAGGUUGCUGUUGUAG
Ribosomal RNA from Danio rerio (zebrafish), 117 nucleotides. Lineage: Eukaryota; Metazoa; Chordata; Actinopteri; Cypriniformes; Danionidae. The record is from Ensembl.